CCUACGGGUGGCAGCAGUGAGGAAUAUUGGUCAAUGGGCGCGAGCCUGAACCAGCCAAGUAGCGUGAGGGAUGACUGCCCUACGUGUUGUAAACUUCUUUUAUACCGGAAUAAAGUGAUGCACGUGUGCCGUUUUGUCUGUACUUUAUGAAUAAGGGUCGGCUAACUCCGUGCCAGCAGCCGCGGUAAUACGGAGGAUCCGAGCGUUAUCCGGAUUUAUUGGGUUUAAAGGGAGCGUAGACGGGUUUUUAAGUCAGCGGUAAAAUCCCGGGGCUCAACCCCGGCGGGCCGUUGAAACUGGAUGCAUUGAGAUGACGACAGGUAGGCGGAAUGCGCAGUGUAGCGGUGAAAUGCUUAGAUAUUGCGCAGAACCCCGAUUGCGAAGGCAGCAUACCGGCGGCGAUCUGACGCUGAGGCACGAAAGCGUGGGUAUCGAACAGGAUUAGAUACCCCGGUAGUC
Molecule: ribosomal RNA, 459 nt
Filed under: uncultured bacterium
Lineage: Bacteria
Description: partial 16S ribosomal RNA
Rfam family: Bacterial small subunit ribosomal RNA
Source: RNAcentral